UACGAGGGGUGCAAGCGUUAAUCGGAAUUACUGGGCGUAAAGCGUGCGUAGGCGGUUAUUUAAGCAAGAUGUGAAAGCCCCGGGCUCAACCUGGGAACUGCAUUUUGAACUGGGUAACUAGAGUACUGUAGAGGGUGGUGGAAUUUCCAGUGUAGCGGUGAAAUGCGUAGAGAUUGGAAGGAACAUCAGUGGCGAAGGCGGCCACCUGGACAGAUACUGACGCUGAGGCACGAAAGCGUGGGGAGCAAACAGG
RNAcentral lists this ribosomal RNA (253 nucleotides) under uncultured bacterium. Its description in RNAcentral is "partial 16S ribosomal RNA". It matches the Rfam family "Bacterial small subunit ribosomal RNA", at positions 524 to 776 of the family's 1533-position model. The record is from RNAcentral.